RNAcentral lists this ribosomal RNA (460 nucleotides) under uncultured bacterium. RNAcentral's name for it is "partial 16S ribosomal RNA". It matches the Rfam family "Bacterial small subunit ribosomal RNA", at positions 338 to 795 of the family's 1533-position model. The record is from RNAcentral.
CCUACGGUGGGCUGCAGUGAGGAAUAUUGGUCAAUGGGCGGAAGCCUGAACCAGCCAAGUCGCGUGAGGGAUUAAGGCCCUAUGGGUCGUAAACCUCUUUUGUCAGGGAGCAAGGUCGUCCACGUGGGGGCGUAUGGAGAGUACCUGAAGAAAAAGCAUCGGCUAACUCCGUGCCAGCAGCCGCGGUAAUACGGGGGAUGCGAGCGUUAUCCGGAUUUAUUGGGUUGAAGGGGUGCGUAGGCGGGACCUUAAGUCAGCGGUAAAAUUGCGGUGCUCAACGCCGUAGAGCCGUUGAAACUGGGGCUCUUGAGUGAGCGAGAAGUAUGCGGAAUGCGUGGUGUAGCGGUGAAAUGCAUAGAUAUCACGCAGAACCCCGAUUGCGAAGGCAGCAUACCGGCGCCCAACUGACGCUGAAGCACGAAGGCGUGGGUAUCGAACAGGAUUAGAUACCCCGGUAGUC